GAUGAACGCUGGCGGCGUGCCUAAUACAUGCAAGUCGAGCGAACGGACGAGAAGCUUUCUUCUCUGAUGUUAGCGGCGGACGGGUGAGUAACACGUGGAUAACCUACCUAUAAGACUGGGAUAACUUCGGUAAACCGGAGCUAAUACCGGAUGAUAUUUUGAACCGCAUGGUUCAAAAGUGAAAGACGGUCUUGCUGUCACUUAUAGAUGGAGCCGCGCUGCAUUAGCUAGUUGGUAAGGUAACGGCUUACCAAGGCAACGAUGCAUAGCCGACCUGAGAGGGUGAUCGGCCACACUGGAACUGAGACACGGUCCAGACUCCUACGGGAGGCAGCAGUAGGGAAUCUUCCGCAAUGGGCGAAAGCCUGACGGAGCAACGCCGCGUGAGUGAUGAAGGUCUUCGGAUCGUAAAACUCUGUUAUUAGGGAAGAACAUAUGUGUAAGUAACUGUGCACAUCUUGACGGUACCUAAUCAGAAAGCCACGGCUAACUACGUG
Molecule: ribosomal RNA, 497 nt
Filed under: uncultured bacterium
Lineage: Bacteria
Description: partial 16S ribosomal RNA
Rfam family: Bacterial small subunit ribosomal RNA
Source: RNAcentral